GAACUUUCUGCGAGGUUCUGAAUCAUUGCUGGUAAUCCUGAGGUUCUCAUCUUUCGGUCUUGAAAAUCAGACUCUGCAACCACAAGACAUGAGCAUUUGAUCAGCACAUGAGAAGUUACCAGAGACCUGGAAGACCCUGGUUCUCUGUUUCUUGGAGGUUCUGUGAGCUAUCACUAUUCCUUCAGAUAUAUUCCUUCAUACAUGUUAGACAAAAAAAGAAGGAAGAGGAGGGAGGGAGUAACGGGGAGGAGGAGGAAGAAGAAGAAGAGACGAAGAAGAAAAGAAUGGAAGCAGAAGAAAGAAACCUUGCUGUAAAGGACAGACACUUGGGAUGUGGACAUCUGAAAGUAGCAUCGUGUAGAAAAUUCAAGAUGAGACUGGUGGACCUAAAAUUCUGGCCAUUAAUUAGGUUCUGAGAAUGCAGAGGCUGCUUUGGAAAACCAAAACUCUAUUACUAAUCCAGGAGAUUUUAUGCUCUGUGUGAGUGUUUAAGUUAAGGCUGCUCAACAGGUGCUUUCCAUUUUGCUGC
This is a long non-coding RNA of Suricata suricatta (meerkat), 529 nucleotides long. RefSeq lists it as uncharacterized. Lineage: Eukaryota; Metazoa; Chordata; Mammalia; Carnivora; Herpestidae. The record is from RefSeq and is a predicted model, not a curated record. The transcript is spliced from 2 exons.